Molecule: ribosomal RNA, 403 nt
Filed under: uncultured bacterium
Lineage: Bacteria
Description: bacterial SSU rRNA
Rfam family: Bacterial small subunit ribosomal RNA
Source: RNAcentral
ACGGGUGAGUAACGCGUGAGCAACCUGUCCCAGACAGGGGAAUAACACUUGGAAACAGGUGCUAAUACCGCAUAAGACCACAGCAUCACAUGAUGCAGGGGUAAAGGAGCAAUCCGGUUUGGGGUGGGCUCGCGUCCGAUUAGAUAGUUGGUGAGGUAACGGCCCACCAAGUCGACGAUCGGUAGCCGACCUGAGAGGGUGAUCGGCCACAUUGGAACUGAGAGACGGUCCAAACUCCUACGGGAGGCAGCAGUGGGGAAUAUUGGGCAAUGGGCGCAAAGCCUGACCCAGCAACGCCGCGUGAGUGAAGAAGGCUUUCGGGUUGUAAAGCUCUGUUAUAGGGGACGAAGGAAGUGACGGUACCCUAUAAGGAAGCCCCGGCUAACUACGUGCCAGCCGCCGC